UAACUUACAUCUAUAAACGCCAGGGAAUUACGAGCUACGCUUAAAACCCAAAGGAUUUGACGGUGUCCCACCCACCUAGAGGAGCCUGUUCUAUAAUCGAUAAUACCCGCUAUACCCAACCACCUCUUGCUAUUCAGUCUGUAUACCUCCGUCGAAAGCUUACCAUGUGAACGCCUACAGUGAGUACAAUUACCCCAACGUCAACACGUCAGGUCAAGGUGCAGCUUAAGGGGUGGAAAGAAAUGGGCUACAAUUUCUAAUCUAGAACAAACGAAAGACUAUGUGAAAUCAUGGUACUGAAGGCGGAUUUAGCAGUAAAAAGAAAAUAGAGCGUUCUUUUUAACCUGGCUCUGGGACGCGUACACACCGCCCGUCAC
Molecule: ribosomal RNA, 377 nt
Filed under: Odorrana graminea (large odorous frog)
Lineage: Eukaryota; Metazoa; Chordata; Amphibia; Anura; Ranidae
Description: partial 12S ribosomal RNA
Rfam family: Bacterial small subunit ribosomal RNA
Source: RNAcentral